This 208-nucleotide ribosomal RNA is filed under the name uncultured bacterium. RNAcentral describes it as "partial 16S ribosomal RNA". It matches the Rfam family "Bacterial small subunit ribosomal RNA", at positions 140 to 334 of the family's 1533-position model. The record is from RNAcentral.
CGGAUAGCUACGGGAAGCUGUAGGUAAUACGUCGUAUGCAGCGCUGACGGAGAGGUGAGUGCUGGAAAGGCUGGGACCGCGAGGCCAGUUGCCAUUUGAUGAGCCCAUGUCCCAUUAGCUAGUUGGCGGGGUAACGGCCCACCGAGGCAGAGAUGGGUAGCUGGUCUGAGAGGACGAUCAGCCACACUGGAACUGAGACACGGUCCAG